UCCGAAUUAGUUUAGUGGCUAUGACGGCGCCUUGUCAUCUACGGAUGCUCACAAAGUUCUCCGCGCAGGUAAUACGGCGCAGACCCGGGUUCAAUUCCCGGAUUCGGAG
Non-coding RNA from Sporisorium reilianum SRZ2, 109 nucleotides. The record is from Rfam. Lineage: Eukaryota; Fungi; Basidiomycota; Ustilaginomycetes; Ustilaginales; Ustilaginaceae.